AGAGCGAACGUUUGCGGCGGGCCUAACACAUGCAAGUCGAACGGGCAGGGGUAACCCUGUCAGUGGCGCACGGGUGCGUAACACGUGGGUAAUCAACCCUUUGGACUGGGACAACCCGGGGAAACUCGGGCUAAUACCGGAUGUGGCAUCGUGGUCUUCGGGCCGUGAUGCGAAAGCCUCGCAAGGGGCACCAGAGGACGAGCCCGCGGCCCAUCAGCUAGUUGGUGAGGUAAUGGCUCACCAAGGCUAAGACGGGUAGCUGGUCUGAGAGGAUGAUCAGCCACACUGGAACUGAGACACGGUCCAGACUCCUACGGGAGGCAGCAGUGGGAAUAUUGCGCAAGUGGGCGAAAGCCUGAACGCAGCCACGCCGCGUGAGCGAUGAAGGUCUCGGAUCGUAAAGCUCGUGGUGGGAGAAGAAGAAGUCAAGGCCGGUGAAAGCGCCGGACCUGACGUAUCUCCGUAGCAAGCACCGGCUAACGUCCGUGCCAGCA
Molecule: ribosomal RNA, 494 nt
Filed under: uncultured soil bacterium
Lineage: Bacteria
Description: bacterial SSU rRNA
Rfam family: Bacterial small subunit ribosomal RNA
Source: RNAcentral